This 253-nucleotide ribosomal RNA is filed under the name uncultured bacterium. Its description in RNAcentral is "partial 16S ribosomal RNA". It matches the Rfam family "Bacterial small subunit ribosomal RNA", at positions 524 to 776 of the family's 1533-position model. The record is from RNAcentral.
UACAGAGGGUGCGAGCGUUGUCCGGAAUCACUGGGCGUAAAGGGCGCGUAGGCGGCCUGAUAAGUAGGGGGUGAAAUCCUGUGGCUUAACUGCAGGGCUGCCUCCUAGACUGUUAGGCUCGAGCACGGUAGAGGCAGAUGGAAUUCCCGGUGUAGCGGUGGAAUGCGUAGAGAUCGGGAAGAACAUCGGUGGCGAAGGCGGUCUGCUGGGCCGUUGCUGACGCUGAGGCGCGACAGCGUGGGGAGCGAUCCGG